This 254-nucleotide long non-coding RNA is filed under the name Manacus vitellinus (golden-collared manakin). Its description in RNAcentral is "lncRNA (ENSMVIG00005009779.1)". Lineage: Eukaryota; Metazoa; Chordata; Aves; Passeriformes; Pipridae. The record is from RNAcentral.
AUAUUCUUUUUUUCUUUGCAUCUGUGUAGGACUGAUCUAUAACCUGAGCUAGUAGGUUCUACAGUAAUACAAAUGGUACAUGAUAACUGUGUGUGAAGAAAGGCUGGCAGCUUUACAGAAGAAAUCUCUGAACCUGUAGGCACUUGUAUAUUUUUACUUAGCAAUAAGAACUAAUGUUACUCUGGUGGACAGUAUAAGCUGGAGUAAACAGUAGAUAUGAUGUAGAAGAUAACUAUCAGCUCCAGAGAGAAACC